CCUACUUCUUUUUCCUUGUGUAUGGGAAAUCUUUCUUGAGAUGCUCCUCACUCCCACACACAAAGCACCUUCUUUUUCUUUCAUCAUGAGACUUCGAUCUUGAUCCCUUCUUGUUCUUGGGAUCCUUCUUCUCCGUUCUGCCCCUCGUGUACAAUCCUUCAGUGUCCUGAUAGCCACCUCCCUCUGAUUUCUUCUUCAACUCCUU
This 205-nucleotide long non-coding RNA is filed under the name Glycine max (soybean). Its description in RNAcentral is "long non-coding RNA (GMAX_LNC002100)". Lineage: Eukaryota; Viridiplantae; Streptophyta; Magnoliopsida; Fabales; Fabaceae. The record is from RNAcentral.